RNAcentral lists this long non-coding RNA (716 nucleotides) under Pan troglodytes (chimpanzee). RNAcentral's name for it is "long non-coding RNA NONPTRT004283". The record is from RNAcentral. Lineage: Eukaryota; Metazoa; Chordata; Mammalia; Primates; Hominidae.
AAUAAAACAUAGGAGCUUAGAGCAUAAAGACUUAUUUUCACUUUUAUUCUUAUCUUGGUAAAACAGUCUGCUGAUGGUGUCACCCUUUGUCUGGUGGAGGUUUAGUGCUGCUGUUGUCGGUAUUAAAGCCAGAAAAAGAGAGAGGGGCGCUGGGAGAUACUUUAACUGCCACAGGCAUAAGCCAUUAUCUUCACUCUGUGAAAAAUUGCCUGAUUUCUUCUCUUGAUAAAACUAGACAUGGGUUUAAAAACAUCACUUAGAAACAUAAACCUCAAAUACCUAAGUCCUUACUUCUCUUCCUUUAUCAUUCGCCAGUGCCUUUGAGAAUUGGAGGGUAGUAAGGUAACUACUUGUAAUGAAAUGCACUUAAAGAGGGUAAAAUGUUAGAUUUCACUUUUGAGGCACAGUUGAUAGAAGCAUUAUCCCUGGAGGGCUUAUUCAAUCAAGAGUCUGAGACAGGUGCCCACCACCACACCCAGCUAAGUUUUGUAUUUUUAGUAGAGACGAGGUUUCACCAUGUUGGUCAGGCUGGUCUUGAACUCCUGACCUUAAGUGAUCUGCCCACCUUGGCCUCCCAAAGUGCUGGGAUUAUAAGCAUAAGCCACUGCACCUGGCCGUUCUGAUAUUCUUAUCACAUUAAAUGCCUCCCUUCAAAUUUCAUCUUUUUUUCCCCCAUUUAAUCUUCGUAAUAACCCUGUUUAGAUCAUUACUAUCCA